This 106-nucleotide small RNA is filed under the name Vibrio palustris. Its description in RNAcentral is "Qrr RNA". It matches the Rfam family "Qrr RNA". From Rfam's summary of the family: This family represents a set of small RNAs (the Qrr RNAs) that are thought to be involved in the regulation of quorum sensing in Vibrio species. It is believed that these RNAs, guided by a protein, Hfq, can mediate the destabilisation of the quorum-sensing master regulators LuxR/HapR mRNAs. The record is from Rfam by way of RNAcentral. Lineage: Bacteria; Pseudomonadati; Pseudomonadota; Gammaproteobacteria; Vibrionales; Vibrionaceae.
UGACCUUUCUUAAGCCGAAGGUCACCUAGCCAACUGACGUUGUUAGUGAAUACAAUUUGUUCACAUAUUUAUAAGCCAAUCGUACUUUACGAUUGGCUAUUUUUUU